CUUCCGCGUUCCGGUUGCGGAUGGUGAGUGUGUCGGGGGGCUUGGCGGCUUUUCUCCUCAGUUUUCUGGAGUGCUUUGGAGGAGAGGACUAUGGCAGCCAGGGACGCCACUUCAGGCAGCCUGUCAGAGGAGAGCAGUGCUUUGGACCUGCCAUCAGCGUGUGACAUAAGAGAUUACGUCCUGCAGGGACCCAGCCAAGAAGCCAACAGCGAGGCUUUCAGUUCUUUGGAAUUCCAUUCUUUUCCUUAUUCUUCUGAUGUGGAUCCAGAUCUCUGAGAAUGCUUCAUUGUCUUAGGCAGAAAAACAUCUUACCUAAGCAAAGCUUUCAGGAGGAACUUCAAAGGACAGCUUACCUGGCACAGCAAUGACAAGGAGCUGUUUCCUGGAUGUCUUUUUGUUAUUGUUGCUGUUAAUCUCAGGUCUCUUUCUAAUCUCCCUCAAAAUGAAUUCAGAAGCAGGGGAAUAUUUGGUUCAACAAAGAGAGAGUGGAAUUUUUUUUUGUUUUGUUCUUUUAAAACUUCAGAAAAUAGCAAUGUGGGCCUGUUAUGUGUGAUGAGUAAUAAAAAUAGAGACUUUAGCAU
Molecule: long non-coding RNA, 581 nt
Filed under: Homo sapiens (human)
Lineage: Eukaryota; Metazoa; Chordata; Mammalia; Primates; Hominidae
Description: HSALNT0263896
Source: RNAcentral